ACAAUGAAGAGUUUGAUCCUGGCUCAGGAUGAACGCUAGCUACAGGCUUAACACAUGCAAGUCGAGGGGCAUCAGGGUGUAGCAAUACGCCGCUGGCGACCGGCGCACGGGUGAGUAACACGUAUCCAACCUGCCCUUUACUCGGGGAUAGCCUUUCGAAAGAAAGAUUAAUACCCGAUGGCAUAACAUGACCUCCUGGUUUUGUUAUUAAAGAAUUUCGGUAGAGGAUGGGGAUGCGUUCCAUUAGGCAGUUGGCGGGGUAACGGCCCACCAAACCUUCGAUGGAUAGGGGUUCUGAGAGGAAGGUCCCCCACAUUGGAACUGAGACACGGUCCAAACUCCUACGGGAGGCAGCAGUGAGGAAUAUUGGUCAAUGGGCGAGAGCCUGAACCAGCCAAGUAGCGUGAAGGAUGACCGCCCUAUGGGUUGUAAACUUCUUUUAUAUGGGAAUAAAGGGUGCCACGUGUGGCAUUUUGUAUGUACCAUAUGAAUAAGGAUCGGCUAACUCCGUGCCAGCAGCCGCGGUAAUACGGAGGAUCCGAGCGUUAUCCGGAUUUAUUGGGUUUAAAGGGAGCGUAGGUGGACAUGUAAGUCAGUUGUGAAAGUUUGCGGCUCAACCGUAAAAUUGCAGUUGAUACUGCGUGUCUUGAGUACAGUAGAGGUGGGCGGAAUUCGUGGUGUAGCGGUGAAAUGCUUAGAUAUCACGAAGAACUCCGAUUGCGAAGGCAGCUCACUGGACUGCAACUGACACUGAUGCUCGAAAGUGUGGGUAUCAAACAGGAUUAGAUACCCUGGUAGUCCACACAGUAAACGAUGAAUACUCGCUGUUUGCGAUAUACAGUAAGCGGCCAAGCGAAAGCAUUAAGUAUUCCACCUGGGGAGUACGCCGGCAACGGUGAAACUCAAAGGAAUUGACGGGGGCCCGCACAAGCGGAGGAACAUGUGGUUUAAUUCGAUGAUACGCGAGGAACCUUACCCGGGCUUAAAUUGCAAAUGAAUAUGCCGGAAACGGCAUAGCCGCAAGGCAUUUGUGAAGGUGCUGCAUGGUUGUCGUCAGCUCGUGCCGUGAGGUGUCGGCUUAAGUGCCAUAACGAGCGCAACCCUUAUCUUCAGUUACUAACAGGUCAUGCUGAGGACUCUGGAGAGACUGCCGUCGUAAGAUGUGAGGAAGGUGGGGAUGACGUCAAAUCAGCACGGCCCUUACGUCCGGGGCUACACACGUGUUACAAUGGGGGGUACAGAAGGCCGCUACACAGCGAUGUGAUGCCAAUCCCUAAAGCCCCUCUCAGUUCGGAUCGAAGUCUGCAACCCGACUUCGUGAAGCUGGAUUCGCUAGUAAUCGCGCAUCAGCCACGGCGCGGUGAAUACGUUCCCGGGCCUUGUACACACCGCCCGUCAAGCCAUGGGAGCCGGGGGUACCUGAAGUACGUAACCGCAAGGAGCGUCCUAGGGUAAAACUGGUGACUGGGGCUAAGUCGUAACAAGGUAGCCGUACCGGAAGGUGCGGCUGGAACACCUCCUUU
This 1523-nucleotide ribosomal RNA is filed under the name Bacteroides salyersiae. Its description in RNAcentral is "bacterial SSU rRNA". It matches the Rfam family "Bacterial small subunit ribosomal RNA". The record is from RNAcentral. Lineage: Bacteria; Pseudomonadati; Bacteroidota; Bacteroidia; Bacteroidales; Bacteroidaceae.